This 83-nucleotide transfer RNA is filed under the name Clostridiales bacterium. RNAcentral describes it as "tRNA-Leu". It matches the Rfam family "tRNA". From Rfam's summary of the family: Transfer RNA (tRNA) molecules are approximately 80 nucleotides in length. Their secondary structure includes four short double-helical elements and three loops (D, anti-codon, and T loops). Lineage: Bacteria; Bacillati; Bacillota; Clostridia; Eubacteriales. The record is from RNAcentral.
GCGGAUGUGGUGGAAUUGGUAGACACGCAGGACUUAGAAUCCUGUGCCUAAUAAGCGUGGGGGUUCAAAUCCCUCCAUCCGCA